AGAACGAACGCUGGCGGCAGGCUUAACACAUGCAAGUCGAGCGCCUCGCAAGAGGAGCGGCAGACGGGUGAGUAACGCGUGGGAACGUGCCCAAAGGUACGGAACAACUCCGGGAAACUGGAGCUAAAUACCGUAUGUGCCCGAAAGGGGAAAGAUUUAUCGCCUUUGGAUCGGCCCGCGUCUGAUUAGCUAGUUGGUAGGGUAACGGCCUACCAAGGCGACGAUCAGUAGCUGGUCUGAGAGGAUGACCAGCCACACUGGGACUGAGACACGGCCCAGACUCCUACGGGAGGCAGCAGUGGGGAAUAUUGGACAAUGGGCGCAAGCCUGAUCCAGCCAUGCCGCGUGAGUGAUGAAGGCCUUAGGGUUGUAAAGCUCUUUCGCCAGGGACGAUAAUGACGGUACCUGGAUAAGAAGCCCCGGCUAACUUCGUGCCAGCAGCCGC
Molecule: ribosomal RNA, 445 nt
Filed under: uncultured bacterium
Lineage: Bacteria
Description: SSU rRNA
Rfam family: Bacterial small subunit ribosomal RNA
Source: RNAcentral